UAUUUAAGUAAUUUAUUUUAAAAUAUCAAUUUGUGGUGUUGAAAAUGUAAUUGUUUACCUUAGAU
This 65-nucleotide transfer RNA is filed under the name Coleoptera sp. ACP-2013. RNAcentral's name for it is "tRNA-His". Lineage: Eukaryota; Metazoa; Arthropoda; Insecta; Coleoptera. The record is from RNAcentral.